CUCGGUUCUUUAAAAAAAAAAACAUGGAGAAUUACUUGAGGUGUUCUCUGGAACGUAAUGUAAAAAUGGAAAAUUUGGAAAAACAUUUUCGAAUUUUCUAUUUAGAAAAUUUUAACAACUAAACAAUAAAUUUUGUUUUCCAUUUUCUUAGAAAAAUUUUCUGGAAAACAGGUGUUGUUUUCCACAACUAAAUAGAACCUGAAUUUCUCAUGUCACGUACUUGUGUAUUUGAAAUGCCCUUUCCCUCCUGAUGUAGAAACCAAUGCACAUAGCAAUUUUUUUUUUCAUGUUUUCCAUGUAUUUAAGACUUUUGGGUGAUGAAACUGAUGUCAUAUAAAAAACUUGCUUUUACAUUUUACUAUUUUGUAGGUUACAAGUAACAAGAUUCUAUUUUUAAAACUACCUCCAAUAGUUUUUGUUUCUAAGUUGUGUGUUAUAAGCUAAUGCCCUGCAGUUUUCUGUUUAAUUGGUUAUGAGUAAUUUUAUAAAUGCCCAUUUGCUUUUCAUGAAACAAUGUACUCAAACAUUUAUUCUGUUAUCUGUUUGAAAGUUGAAACUCUUUUAUAAUUUAAUCUAACUCAAGUAUUUGACACCUGACAAGUAUUUUCCUCAACUUGUGUUAGGUAAAGUCGCGUCUUGAAAUAUACAAGCAAAAUGUAGAAGCAAUUUUAUCCACUUAUUUGAACAUUAUGAAGACGGUAACUUCAAACUUUUUUAUCGUUUCUGUUCUUUUACAGAUUAUAUGAAUUCACUGCCAGCAAUUUUUAUUUGUUGCAUUAUCUUUUUAAAAUUCAGAUUGAUGGAAGCCGCCCAAAAGAAGUAGUUUUUGAAGAAAUAUAUUCUUUGCUGUCUGAAGUGCAGAAAGAUAAAGUGAAAUUGAUUAAAUCUGGUAAACUUUCCGAAGUGCAUCAUGUAAGUUUGCAUGUUGAUUGGAUUUUAUAGUCUAGUUCAUUGCUUGUCCAACACUGGUCAAGAAGAAAAAUAUUUGCAUUGCAUGAACAUGUUUUAGACGGAUUCUUGAAUUUAUCUGUUGGCUAUAAAAAUUUAGUUUAAUUCACCAAGAGAUUUGAUUCCAAGAUUCUGACUUUGGUUUUAUUUUUGGAACAAUUAAACAUAAUGGUAAUUACAGAAAUUACUCAUAACUUGAUUUCAUUUCCACCUGUAUUGCAGUGAUUCAAACACAAUAUCACAAAAAAAAAAAAAA
RNAcentral lists this unclassified non-coding RNA (1204 nucleotides) under Hevea brasiliensis (rubber tree). Lineage: Eukaryota; Viridiplantae; Streptophyta; Magnoliopsida; Malpighiales; Euphorbiaceae. The record is from RNAcentral.